Molecule: non-coding RNA, 309 nt
Organism: Pelobates cultripes (western spadefoot toad)
Lineage: Eukaryota; Metazoa; Chordata; Amphibia; Anura; Pelobatidae
Source: the annotation of a GenBank genome assembly
CUUGCACAAACUAGAGUUCUAGGCGUUUCCUUUGUGAUUUAAUUUCGGUCUGUGAUGGUGAUGUAUGAGGAUUGGGGUUACAAGGUUUACUUGUGCUAUUUGCAUUUCCUAGUUCAUAGGAUUAUUUCAUAGAGUAAUCCACUGUCAUAGACUGCAUUUCCCGAUAUUACCCGAUGCCGCCGCCCCCCAUCAACUUGACAUUGUUCUGCAUGUGCCCCUCACAGGCUACACUAAUCUGCUGCUUUCUUAGCAGAUUCUGUAUUUUUGAGGCUCAACUCCACUUGAGCUAAUGCUGCCCACUUGACCUUC